This 119-nucleotide ribosomal RNA is filed under the name Pteropus alecto (black flying fox). The record is from RNAcentral. Lineage: Eukaryota; Metazoa; Chordata; Mammalia; Chiroptera; Pteropodidae.
GUCUACGGCCACGCCACCCUGAACGUGCCCGAUCUCGUCUGAUCUCAGAAGCUAAGCAGUGUCGGGCCUGGUUAGGACUUGGAUGGGAGACCACCUAGGAAGAUCAGGUACUGUAAGCG